AUUGAACGCUGGCGGCAUGCCUUACGCAUGCAAGUCGAACGGUAACAGGUCUUCGGACGCUGACGAGUGGCGAACGGGUGAGUAAUACAUCGGAACGUGCCCAGUCGUGGGGGAUAACUACUCGAAAGAGUAGCUAAUACCGCAUACGAUCUGAGGAUGAAAGCGGGGGCCUUCGGGCCUCGCGCGAUUGGAGCGGCCGAUGGCAGAUUAGGUAGUUGGUGGGAUAAAAGCUUACCAAGCCGACGAUCUGUAGCUGGUCUGAGAGGACGACCAGCCACACUGGGACUGAGACACGGCCCAGACUCCUACGGGAGGCAGCAGUGGGGAAUUUUGGACAAUGGGCGAAAGCCUGAUCCAGCAAUGCCGCGUGCAGGAUGAAGGCCUUCGGGUUGUAAACUGCUUUUGUACGGAACGAAAAAGUCUCCUCUAAUACAGGAGGCCCAUGACGGUACCGUAAGAAUAAGCACCGGCUAACUACGUGCCAGCAGCCGCCGUAA
This 497-nucleotide ribosomal RNA is filed under the name uncultured bacterium. RNAcentral's name for it is "partial 16S ribosomal RNA". It matches the Rfam family "Bacterial small subunit ribosomal RNA", at positions 30 to 523 of the family's 1533-position model. The record is from RNAcentral.